This 437-nucleotide ribosomal RNA is filed under the name uncultured bacterium. Its description in RNAcentral is "bacterial SSU rRNA". It matches the Rfam family "Bacterial small subunit ribosomal RNA", at positions 28 to 478 of the family's 1533-position model. The record is from RNAcentral.
GACGAACGCUGGCGGCGCGCCUAACACAUGCAAGUCGAACGAGAGAUGAAGAGCUUGCUCUUCAAAUCGAGUGGCGAACGGGUGAGUAACGCGUGAGGAACCUGCCUCAAAGAGGGGGACAACAGUUGGAAACGACUGCUAAUACCGCAUAAGCCCACGGCUCGGCAUCGAGCAGGGGGAAAAGGAGCAAUCCGCUUUGAGAUGGCCUCGCGUCCGAUUAGCUAGUUGGUGAGGUAACGGCCCACCAAGGCGACGAUCGGUAGCCGGACUGAGAGGUUGAACGGCCACAUUGGGACUGAGACACGGCCCAGACUCCUACGGGAGGCAGCAGUGGGGAAUAUUGCACAAUGGGGGAAACCCUGAUGCAGCGACGCCGCGUGGAGGAAGAAGGUCUUCGGAUUGUAAACUCCUGUUGUUGAGGAAGAUAAUGACGGUAC